ACGGAUCCCCGAGGCCAGGGCCAAGACACCCAAAGCAGCCAAGCAGUCCAAAAAUGACUCUAACAAUGAGUGGAAAACUACAUUCUCGUCAAGCAAGACCUCCUUCACCAAAGGCAGGGUUUCUAUCCUGAGGACUAAGUACGCCAUCUCCUGGGGCAAAUCCUCGAUCUCCUGGAGCAGAACCACCGUAACUUUGGGCAACACCAGCAUAGCAGUGGGCACCACCUCUGUGACACGAGGGGAGACCACGAGCUCCCUGACCACCGUGACCUUCACCCAUGGGACCAAGUCUGUGUCUGUGGUCAAAGCCACCCUCGUCAGGGGCAAAGAAACGCAUAGCAACAUCUACUGGGAUUUUCACACUUGAAUCCUGCACAAAAACCCAUGGAUAUGUCUAUGUGGUCAGUUUUAGAAGUCUUGGCAUAACCAGCAGGAUCAGAUGACACAGGCGAACUCCUCACUGGCCGCAGCAUUGUGCAACACCAGCCAGUGUUGUGUUUAUCGUCCUGGACUGUCGGGGGGGAGAGACGUCCCGUCCUGCACUGGAUUGGCGCAAAGAGAAAAAAAUGUCUUGUGCUUUGAUGAAAAUUGGGAUAAUUCAGGCCAAAAACACACAGAUAUAAAGAUUUAAAAAGGUUGCUACAGCAGGGUGUGUCUAUGUCUCUCUCUCACCCAUCCCCUCUGUGAAAAAGCGUCCAGGAAAAGUGUUUUGUGGUCUGAGGAGGUGCAGAGAGGAUCGAGGCGUAAGAUGGACAGUAGAGGCUUUUGGGCUGAGAAGCACCUGAGAGUGUAAAUCAGAAGUUUGAGCACGACAGGGGGGUAAAAUGAGGAAAAGCGGGGAAGCUGAUGGUGAGAGAGCGGUGUCCAAACGCUCAUCUAAAGAACUUCUGCUGUAAUUUCACAUACUUGAUGCUAAAAAUAAGAGUCGAAAUCAGGGAAAAUGCAAAAAGAAGGCUGCACAGAAGCUGAUCUAGAAAUCAAUGUGACUGCAGAUUCAAAGAUUUGUUGAUAUUGUCUUAGAAAGAGAGGUGGAAAGUGGCACAAAAUGAUGCAACUGUCGCACUCAGAAUAAAAAAAAAACAACAAAAAAACAGAGCAACCCACUUGUCGAAGAAUGUCCACAGAACAUUUUAUUCUCUCCUCUCGAGCCACGCCCCGGAAGAAGCUCAGACCUCAGCCGAGACGCAGCACAUCGUCCUCCCUUCUUUCCCCUCCAUGUUCCUUUUGUUUCCAGGAAGCGGCUGAAGAGAUAACACUUCACAUCAGACCUGUCUCACUCAUCUUCCUCUAUCUAUUUUUCCUUAGGUUCGCCCCCGUGUCCACAGCAACACUGUUCCUCCAGUCACGGACAACAGCAUGACAGCUCUAAGGCAGACUAAAGCAUCAAAACGGCCCAUUUUAAACGUCAUAGCACAGAAUGUGGCUUGUAAACAAACACAAGACAAAUUGUUUGACUGCUAAUCCACCAGUGUUCUAUUAAAUUGAGCACAGAUACACAAAGUUGCAUGAAAAUUCGCUGCAGAAAGGCUCAGCCCUUCAACACUAAGAUAAAACCUGUUGCUAGUGGCAACAGUGCAGAGACACAGUGGAUCACAAUGACACCGAUGCCACUGUGGACAUUCUCUAUUACAAAAUUCCACUAGAUUUUCAGAUGUUAUCUGGCCUCAAAAAUAACAAAAACAUUGCCACUGAUUAUAUUCAAUCUGGAAACUGACGUAAGCAUCUGAGUUUUGGCAAAAAUCCUCCAUCACAAAGCUAAAGUACUAGAGUAGCCUCCACAGACAGUAGUCAUUGUCUUUGAUUAUUUUUCUCUCUCUGUUAAUUUCCCCAAUACAGGCCUUGUGCAGAAAUUGAAGUUCCCUAAGGUGGUGAAAAUGUUUGAUCAGGUUUUCCUUUUAUGACACACAAAUGUGUUUGCUGUACAUACAGUACGUGUCUCUAAUUAAAAUGGUCUCGCUCUGCUAAGUAGAAAAGGCACCGAAACCCUGAGCAGAGAUUAGUCUGUGCCUGGUACUGGUGACCCACAUCAUGCCAGAUCAUAACUUUUAAACAGGACUGUGAUGCCAGUUUUUUUUUUUUUUAAAGUCCUAGACAGAACUGAGGAACUUUAGACAACAACACGUGAACUUUUCAAGCCCAAAACUGAGCAGAAACAGGCCCUUUUUGAAUUGAAACUGUUAAUCUGCGUGUGUGCUGAUUGUAUGUUAAACAUGUACGAUGGAAAAACGGUCAGACUUUAUAUAUAUAUGUAUACACACACACACACGUGUUAGGGUAAAUAAAAGCUUGGCCUGGUGUACUAAUGGAGCACUAACGUCACUUAGCUACUGUAGCCAGGCAGCCCUUCAGCUGUGGAAGUAAGCAAGCCUGGAUAUUGCACCAACACGACGCCCAGCCUGCUUUACUGUGCGACCCGAGGGCCACUGCUGAUUCAGGAUCUCUCCCCAUCCAGACUGUACGAUCACACAACCACCCACGACUACUUGAAUCAACUCUGACCCACAAAACAACGCAAAAACGAAGGUCAGAAACUCCACGAGUGAACGAGGAGACAGAGCAGCGACACAGCCUAGAAGAAGUUGCCCUUGAAGUGAACCUAAUCAAUGUCAUGUCGUUCAUUAGAAAAAUGGAACGAAACUGUGUAGUAAGCAUUACUGAUGGAAAGCUGUUUGAGGUUUUAUUUCUGUCUUGUCGGGUUUGUUUGUCAUUAAAAUGCUUAAAUGAUUAAAUCUGUCUUAGCACGGUUCAGGACAAACUGAACACAACCGUGUUUUUGUGUCCCUGCUAAUCUCUCUGUGUUGUAAGUCCAUUGUGGGAACUUUUCUUUCUUUUCAGCCAUGCUCUACGUGAUGUCGUGUGUUUUUGCCUCAAUGUACGUGUCACUAAAAUGCAGACAGGACCUUGGAUGGAAAGGUACUGGAAUAAAAACGCUUGACUGUGUGUCUA
Molecule: long non-coding RNA, 2946 nt
Organism: Amphiprion ocellaris (clown anemonefish)
Lineage: Eukaryota; Metazoa; Chordata; Actinopteri; Pomacentridae
Exons: 2
Source: RefSeq, a predicted model, not a curated record